GCUGGGUAUGGUGGUGCACACCUGUAAUCUCAGGAACUCAGGAGGCUGAAGCAGGAGGACCACAAGUUCAAGGUCAGUCUCAGCAAUUUAGUGAGACCCUGUCUCAA
This 107-nucleotide small RNA is filed under the name Marmota monax (woodchuck). The record is from RNAcentral. Lineage: Eukaryota; Metazoa; Chordata; Mammalia; Rodentia; Sciuridae.